Molecule: long non-coding RNA, 543 nt
Organism: Malania oleifera
Lineage: Eukaryota; Viridiplantae; Streptophyta; Magnoliopsida; Santalales; Ximeniaceae
Exons: 2
Source: RefSeq, a predicted model, not a curated record
AAAAAAAGUGGUUGUGUGCAGUACAUGCACUCAUCCCUUGUACUUCAUGUACUGCAAAUACAAUGCACCAUAUAUCAAAACCCUGCAAGAAGCAAUGGUCCUAAUCCCCAAAUCAAAAUUUUGAACUUCACGAGUCCUUGCUUCCUCUUUCAUCCAUGCGUCCAUUCCGCCAUGCGUUUCAUCAUAUAAUCAGAUAACUUCUGUGUGGUUCAGCGUAAUGGAGAGGCUCACUUAUUGCUACCACAAAGUGGGUGUCACUGAGGGAUUGCGCAUGCUUGCAUUGGGUAAUGAAUUCCAACCACACCGAGUGGGAGCCACGACUGAGGAGUGAGUUGCAGAUGCUUGCAUUAAGAAAUGAAUCCCAAUGCUCAUGUCUUUAUGAUGGAAUUGUUUGAUGAAACUUUGUUCCUUUGAAACUACUUUGUUUAGAAUUUUAAAAUUUUGAUUUUUAAAUAUUUUUGGUCAAGUUUUGGUGCCAAAAAUAUUUUGGUGAUGAUAUGGGUGUGGGGUGAUUGAUUAUAAAAAUGUUUCAUAUUUCACAAA